RNAcentral lists this long non-coding RNA (1142 nucleotides) under Apteryx rowi (Okarito brown kiwi). RNAcentral describes it as "lncRNA (ENSARWG00000017866.1)". The record is from RNAcentral. Lineage: Eukaryota; Metazoa; Chordata; Aves; Apterygiformes; Apterygidae.
AUGACUUACUCCCCCACUGAGGGGCGAUGGGCAGCAUCAUUAUCAGACGUCGGACUGUGCGGCAGGGAGUCUGAUUCUGUGCCAGCAAUGGAAAUGGCCUCGGAAGUACGGCUCCUCCUCCAUCCCAAAGCCACAACCCCUCCGAGGCACUGCCUUUCCAAAAAGUACAUCCGGACUGAAUCCAGCAAGCCUCCCUGUGGAAGACGCUCUGUUCACUUCUGUGUGGAAGCCAUCUGCUCCCUUUCACCCGGCUCUGUCUGCAGGGCUGUGAGAUCGCCUGCCGAGCUGGAAAGCUCUCCUCCUCCAAGCACCACCUGCAGUCAGAGAGGGAUGCAUUUACCCUCAGAUGAGAGGGGGGAUGGGAUGGGUUUGGUUACUAUCAGCCAUGUUGUUAGCGCAACAUGAGGGGAAGGAAAUAACAGCGUUGGCUGAAUCUGGGGCGGCCGAUAGUGUCAGCCGGAGGCGGUUACCAGGCAACUGUCGCACCAUGGGACAUGGCAAGCCGGGAACGCGGCAUUCUCACCAUGCCUGCCCAGUGUGUGCCCGUGGGAGGGGGCCCAGCAUGUCACAGAGUGUGCAGGGAGAGGGUGGCGUGAACAGGAGCGUGCUGCAGGACCUGUGACAGAGGAGGGGGUCUCCAACGUACCCCCUCCUGCCAGCCAGAUCUCCUACCCCUUCCUCACUUGCCUCCAGAUACACAUCAUGGAUUGCCUGACAGGCAGGAUUUCACAUUCUUCCUGCAUCCUCUGCUACUGGAGAAACUGAAAAGAGAAAAAUGUUACCUCCAACUUUGUAUCCAAGGUCCCCAGGCUUGUCCAAGUCCAGUGCUUGUUGCAUUGACCCUGUGGUCCUACACUUCUUUAUCCCUUAACAAAUCUGAAGCUCCCUCCUUUCCUAGUCACCUACUGUUUUUGCCUGGGCAACCCAGCUCUGUGUCCCUGUAUCUCACUGGAAAGGUGAUUUUCUUGUAAAAAUGAGCUAACGUUCCCUUCCAAAAGCUGCCAGUCCUCCCCAGCCAUCCUAUUUGAGGCAUACGUAUGGCCCCACUUGCUUUCCUGCUCCUGAUUCAUGCUUGCCCUGCUUCUUACAACGGAAAACUCAGUAGCAAUAAAGCAGCUUGAAUGGCAGGUAUGGAGUAAAUG